Molecule: transfer RNA, 340 nt
Filed under: Saccobasis polita
Lineage: Eukaryota; Viridiplantae; Streptophyta; Jungermanniopsida; Jungermanniales; Scapaniaceae
Description: partial tRNA-Leu
Rfam family: Group I catalytic intron (bases 18-278)
About the family: Group I catalytic introns are large self-splicing ribozymes. They catalyse their own excision from mRNA, tRNA and rRNA precursors in a wide range of organisms.
Source: RNAcentral
UCCGAAAUCGGUAGACGCUACGGACUUUAAAUUAAUUGAGCCUUGGUCAAGAAAUUAGCUAAGUGAUUGUUUCCAUAUUCGGGGGAGCCUAGGGUGAGAAGGAUAAACAUAGUAGGUAAUCCUGAGCCAAAUUUUGCUUAUUUUGCAAAAUAGGUGCAGAGACUCAAAGGGAACUAUCCAAACAAAAAUAUAUUAUUUAUGAAUUAUUAUUUCGUUUUAUUAUAAAUUUUUUCUACUUAAAUAGAAGGAUGAAGAUAGAGUCCAUUUUUACGCGCUAUAUUUGGCAACGAUGUAAGUCAUUGUAAAAAGAAAAUCCGUUGGCUUUUUAGACCGUGAGGGU